GACGAACGCUGGCGGCGUGCUUAACACAUGCAAGUCGAACGGAAAGGCCCUGCUUUUGUGGGGUGCUCGAGUGGCGAACGGGUGAGUAACACGUGAGUAACCUGCCCUUGACUUUGGGAUAACUUCAGGAAACUGGGGCUAAUACCGGAUAGGAGCUCCUGCUGCAUGGUGGGGGUUGGAAAGUUUCGGCGGUUGGGGAUGGACUCGCGGCUUAUCAGCUUGUUGGUGGGGUAGUGGCUUACCAAGGCUUUGACGGGUAGCCGGCCUGUGAGGGUGACCGGCCACAUUGGGACUGAGAUACGGCGCAGACUCCUACGGGAGGCAGCAGUGGGGAAUAUUGCACAAUGGGCGGAAGCCUGAUGCAGCAACGCCGCGUGCGGGAUGACGGCCUUCGGGUUGUAAACCGCUUUCGCCUAUGACGAAGCGUGAGUGACGGUAAUGGAUAAAGAAGCACCGGCUAACUACGUG
Molecule: ribosomal RNA, 468 nt
Filed under: uncultured bacterium
Lineage: Bacteria
Description: partial 16S ribosomal RNA
Rfam family: Bacterial small subunit ribosomal RNA
Source: RNAcentral